GCAUCGACCUGGUAUUGCAGUACUUCCA
Molecule: non-coding RNA, 28 nt
Filed under: Cricetulus griseus (Chinese hamster)
Lineage: Eukaryota; Metazoa; Chordata; Mammalia; Rodentia; Cricetidae
Also listed under: 1 other name
Source: RNAcentral